RNAcentral lists this unclassified non-coding RNA (223 nucleotides) under Hevea brasiliensis (rubber tree). The record is from RNAcentral. Lineage: Eukaryota; Viridiplantae; Streptophyta; Magnoliopsida; Malpighiales; Euphorbiaceae.
GCAAUCUUUUCUCAGAAGAAAAUGGUAACAAGUGAGCGAAAGUGGUUACCGAAUUAGAAAUAUUCCUUUGAAAGGUUGAAGCAGCUGAAGUAGGUUAACAACUCUGUUUUAAAAGAAAUAAGGGUAUUUUAUAGGGUAGCUUAAUAAAUUCUGCAGCAUUUGCAUUUCAUAUCUAAUUUGCAGCUUUUCAGUAUAUUAUUGUUGUGAUGAAGCAAGUUUAUAU